CAUCAAGUCUGACAAAGAAUGGAAAUACCUACUUUCGUUGGAGCCCAUGAAUUUCAAUUCCCAAGAGAAUUCAAUUCUUUCUGCACUUUACGCCAUUGUUAUAAAAAUCCAAUGGCUUCUUCGCCCCUGGCUGUAGUAUCCAUCGAAUUGCAUGAGGGACGGACUGCCCAAUAAAAACCUACGUUUCAGGAUGGUAUAUCUGUACGACACAAUAGGAGAUUUGCAGCCAUCGAAGGAGAACAGAAGGGGUGUACAGUGGGUGGUGGGACGAGAGGGUGGAUGUUUUAUGCAGGCAGUCGCGAUGAAAAUCCAAUCAAGAAAAACUUCUCGCAAACCAGGACAAUCCAACAGCCGGCAAAAAGAAGUCUGACGGAAUUGGGCGAGGUUUCGAGAGAUGGAAGUGUCUGCAAAGCCUCGCUAAGGCCAGAAAACACAAAUAAGAUUGCAAAUAGCCAGAGUACCAAGAAAUAAGUAGGACGAGGUAAAGAGAAUAAUCGAGAUGGCCUGUACGAGAAUUGAAAGAAGAUGAUAAGA
This is a long non-coding RNA of Cephus cinctus (wheat stem sawfly), 534 nucleotides long. RefSeq lists it as uncharacterized. The record is from RefSeq and is a predicted model, not a curated record. The transcript is spliced from 3 exons. Lineage: Eukaryota; Metazoa; Arthropoda; Insecta; Hymenoptera; Cephidae.